UGGUGAAACCUGGGCCGCUAAAGCGGAACGCGUGAACUUAAACCACUCGGCCACAGGGCUGGCCCCUUAAUUUUGUUUUUUAAUGAUGUAAAUGUUUUACAUGAUUCCGUUUACAUCCUACAUGACCCCACAUCUCCUCUCCUAGGUGUUUCCCCUGCAGAAAGGUGUACACGUGUGCAUCAAAAGAAUAGAAAUUCCACGAGGAAUUGUGUGUUUUGUUCACUGCUUCUUCCCUGAGCGUAGAAUUGUGCCUCGCACAUAGCAGCUCAGUAAAUAUUUGAUGAAUGAAUGAACGAACUCUAAUACAGCAAACAGACAAAGUACAAGAACAGGCUCCUCAGGGUGGUUUACGUCUUCAGUGUUUGGCCUGGACAUUUGUUUGAGGAACCCCUGAAGUGCUUCUGCCCAGCCAAGAGGGUUCCUCCGAGAAGAGUUUCAAAAUGACUGCUGAAGGCAAACGGGAGCAGCUGAAAGCUUUUGAAGGAUUUAGCUCUUGGCUCACUGUCACUCUCUCGAACACUACUCCUGUCACAGUCCCUGGUGAUGUGCAUGCUGCUGGACUGUGGACCCGCACUUUCAGUAGCAAAGGCCUGGACCAGGGGUUGGCAAACUUCUUCUGAUAGUAAAUAUUUUAGUCUUUGCAGGUGACGUAUGGUGUCUGUUGCAACUGCUCAACUCUGCCAUUGCAGCUAGACAAUACAUAAAUGAAUGGGUAUGGCAGGGUUCCAAUAAAAUUGUAGUUAUGGAAGCUGAAAUUUGAAUUUCAUAGAAUUUUCUUGUGUCACAAAAUAUUAUUCUUCUUUUGAUUUUUUUCAACCAUUUAAAAAUACAAAAACAAUUCUUAGUUGGCAGGCUGUACACAAAUAGGCAGCGGCCCGGUUUGGUCCACAGUUUGUCAACCCUUGGCCUAGACAACUGUUUCAAACCUCUUCUGUCCUCAGAUCUGCAGCCCUUCCUCCUCCGUUCUCUCACAUGAUGGCCUUGCUUCCUAGUCACCGAGAAAUUUUAAGCAAUCACAGGAGAUCUUCCAUGACUCACCUACCACGUCCCAGCUCCCAGCACCUGCACUCGAAUCCUCUGCCUUCAUCCUGUUCCUGCGGAUGAAGUAUUUGCACUAUGGCCAGCCUUUCUGCUUGCUUGUGCCCUCAAUCCUAACCCCUGUCACCUAGUCAAGAACCUUGCUCUGGCAGUUCUGUCCUUUCUGUCCCUGCUUUUCACUGGAUUGUUCCCAACAAUGUACAAAUAAAUAGGCGGGCAUUUCUCCCCUUUUAAAAGCCUGCUCUUUAUCCCAACUCCCUUUCCACUGCUACUCCGUUCCCUCCUUCCUUUUACAACAAAGCUGUGCAAGAUUUGUCGAGAUUUCUGUUUCCAAUUUCUCUCCUCUCAUGCUUUUUUUUUUUUUUUGAGGAAGAUUAGCCCUGAGCUAACUAC
Molecule: long non-coding RNA, 1431 nt
Organism: Equus caballus (horse)
Lineage: Eukaryota; Metazoa; Chordata; Mammalia; Perissodactyla; Equidae
Source: RefSeq, a predicted model, not a curated record